This 239-nucleotide ribosomal RNA is filed under the name uncultured bacterium. RNAcentral describes it as "partial 16S ribosomal RNA". It matches the Rfam family "Bacterial small subunit ribosomal RNA", at positions 16 to 236 of the family's 1533-position model. The record is from RNAcentral.
GUCCUGGCUCAGGAUGAACGCUGGCGGCGUGCCUAACACAUGCAAGUCGAACGGAGUCGUUUUGGAAAUCUCUUCGGAGAUGGAAUUCUCGACUUAGUGGCGGACGGGUGAGUAACGCGUGAGCAAUCUGCCUUUAAGAGGGGGAUAACAGUCGGAAACGGCUGCUAAUACCGCAUAAAGCAUCAAAUUCGCAUGUUUUUGAUGCCAAAGGAGCAAUCCGCUUUUAGAUGAGCUCGCGU